Molecule: ribosomal RNA, 463 nt
Filed under: uncultured bacterium
Lineage: Bacteria
Description: bacterial SSU rRNA
Rfam family: Bacterial small subunit ribosomal RNA
Source: RNAcentral
GGGCCCGCACAAGCAGCGGAGCAUGUGGUUUAAUUCGAAGCAACGCGAAGAACCUUACCUAGACUUGACAUCUCCUGAAUUACCUUUAAUCGGGGAAGUCCCUUCGGGGACAGGAAGACAGGUGGUGCAUGGUUGUCGUCAGCUCGUGUCGUGAGAUGUUGGGUUAAGUCCCGCAACGAGCGCAACCCUUAUUGUUAGUUGCUACCAUUUAGUUGAGCACUCUAGCGAGACUGCCCGGGUUAACCGGGAGGAAGGUGGGGAUGACGUCAAAUCAUCAUGCCCCUUAUGUCUAGGGCUACACACGUGCUACAAUGGCCAGUACAAAUAGAUGCGAUACCGUGAGGUGGAGCCAAACUAUAAAACUGGUCUCAGUUCGGAUUGUAGGCUGAAACUCGCCUACAUGAAGCUGGAGUUGCUAGUAAUCGCGAAUCAGCAUGUCGCGGUGAAUACGUUCCCGGGCCUU